Molecule: ribosomal RNA, 1731 nt
Filed under: Triticum aestivum (bread wheat)
Lineage: Eukaryota; Viridiplantae; Streptophyta; Magnoliopsida; Poales; Poaceae
Description: partial small subunit ribosomal RNA
Source: RNAcentral
AUGCCUCUGCUGGCCCCCGGCAUCGUCCUUCGCGACGCGCGGACGCCGCGGGGGUUCGUCCAGCUCCUCGCCUCCUCCUCCUCCUCCUCCCCGCUUCCGCCGAGCCCGUCCGCCGCGGCGCAGUGCCAUGGGCUGGCCACCAAGCUCGGCCUCGCGGCCGGCAACGUCUUCGCGGGGACCGCCCUCCUCGCCUUCUACUGCCGCUGCGGCCGCCCGAGCGACGCCCGGCGGCUGUUCGACGAAAUGCCCGAGAGGAGCGGCGUCACCUGGAGCGUGCUCGUCUACGGCCACGCGCGGUCCAGCGCGCCCGGCCUCGCCGUGGAGGCGUUCGGGCGCAUGGUGCGCGCCGGCUUCUCCCCCACGCCGGCGGCCGUGUCCAGCGCCCUUGCCGCGUGCGCGAGGAUGGAGGACGCCCGCGUCGGGGCGAUGAUCCACGCCGCUGGCCUCAAGUGCAGUGGCGGCAUCUGUGGAAGCGUCGUCGUCGGGACUGCGUUGGUGGACAUGUACGCCAAAUGCCGUGAUGUUUCGGCUGCUCAGCGGGUUCUUGAGGAGAUGGAAGAGAAGAAUGUGGCCACUUUUACGGCUCUUGUGGGCGGGUUUGCCUCAGCCAGAAGACCUGGUGAGGCCAUGAUGUUUGUCAGGGAGAUGGAACAGUCAGGGGUGGCACCAAACAUGAUGACAUACAGCAGCCUUCUCAGCUCAUUUGCGAGUCCUGAAGACCUCAAUCAUGGGAGGCAAGCGCAUUGUGCGGUGCUAAAGAAGGGUCUCGAGCACAAUCCGUAUGUUCUGUCCACUCUUAUGACCAUGUACUCCAAGUGCGGCAUCUUAGAUGAUUUCAGGAAGGUGCAGAUGAGUGUUUCCUGUCAGGAUCAGGUCUCGCUCAACUCCGUGAUCUCGGGGCUCUCCUGUUUGGGAAGAGGUGACGAGGCAUUUCAGCAGUUCUUGGAGAUGAGACGGCAUGGCGCUGACACAGAUAUGUUCACCUUUGGCAGCAUGCUGAAGGCUAUAGGGAGCUCAUCCUCACUGCUAGAGGGAAGACAAGUCCAUGCUCUCAUCCUCAAAACUGGGUAUGAGUCUGAUGUGAAUGUCCAGAAUGGAUUGAUUUCCAUGUACGUCAGGCGCGGCGAGAUAGGGGAAGCCAGGGAUGUUUUCACUUCGGUGGAAGCGCCUGACUUGGUCUCCUGGAAUUCGCUUCUGACAGGAUAUGCUCAGCAUGGUUAUGGCAAUGAGGUGGUUGAGGUGUUUGAACAGAUGAGGAGACUGAAUGUUCAGCCAGACAACACAACCUUCUUGUUGGUGCUUACAGCUUGCAGCCACGCCGGUUUGGUGGAUACAGGGUUGGAGUACUUCAACUUGAUGAAAACAAACGGGUUUCUCGCAGGGGCACGGCUAGAGCACUACGCGUGCGUGGUCGAUCUUCUUGGUCGAGCAGGCCAUCUCCAAGAAGCAGAGGCUUUGAUCAACGACAUGCCUACUGAACCUGGCGUCUCGGUGUACAGAGCUCUGCUUAGUGCCUGCCAGAUCCACGGCAACCUUGAGAUUGCGGUCCAGGUGUCCACGCGCCUGAUCGAGCUCUACCCUCACGACUCCUCUGCCCAUGUUCAGCUGUCAAAGGCCUUUGCCGGUGAUGGCCACUGGGGUGAUGCUGCCGAGAUCAGGGAGGCCAUGGCAGGUAAAGGGAUAGUGAAGAACCCUGCUUGGAGCUGUGUCGAGGACCAGGUACAGGUUGGA